AUGUUGAAAGAUAUUCUGUUGAGAUAUGAGGAGGCAUCGGGCCAACGAGUUAAUCUAGAAAAGUCCUCUAUUUUCUUCGGGAAGGGCUUUCAGGAAGGAAACAAAAAUGCACUCAAAGAUGCAUUGGGUGUCCAGUCCGAAGCUUUGAGCGAGCGGUAUCUGGGAUUGCCAACACUGGUUGGACAGUCCAAGGAGGGCACUUUCAAAUAUGUGACAGAG
This 219-nucleotide ribosomal RNA is filed under the name Triticum aestivum (bread wheat). RNAcentral's name for it is "partial small subunit ribosomal RNA". The record is from RNAcentral. Lineage: Eukaryota; Viridiplantae; Streptophyta; Magnoliopsida; Poales; Poaceae.